CAGUCCGGCGAUCGCUCACUCUGCUGAUGUUUGCCUUGGACAUUUUCGAAGGACUGUUAAAAGCCGACAAACGCAGACGUCCUUUGCUCAGCUCUUUACAAAAUGCCAGGCAAAAACAACUUCUGAGAGAGAACAUGAACUAAAGAGGGCAAAAAAAUGAUGAGGACACAGUUAAAAGUUAAAUGACCAUCAUUUUUAUUCUUUAUUCUUUGUUUUUUACAUUAUGAACAACUCUCAUUAAUGUGCAAUAAUCGAAUUGUAACAUUUAUGUCUGUGUUUUCAC
This is a long non-coding RNA of Hippocampus comes (tiger tail seahorse), 283 nucleotides long. RefSeq lists it as uncharacterized. The record is from RefSeq and is a predicted model, not a curated record. NCBI's taxonomy places the organism in Eukaryota, Metazoa, Chordata, Actinopteri, Syngnathiformes, Syngnathidae. The transcript has 3 exons.